RNAcentral lists this ribosomal RNA (458 nucleotides) under uncultured soil bacterium. RNAcentral's name for it is "bacterial SSU rRNA". It matches the Rfam family "Bacterial small subunit ribosomal RNA", at positions 26 to 504 of the family's 1533-position model. The record is from RNAcentral.
AGUCUGAACGCUGGCGGCGUGGCUAAGACAUGCAAGUCGUACGGGACCCGCAAGGGUCCAGUGGCGGACGGGUGAGUAAUGAAUCGCUAAUGUACCCCGAUGCCUGGGAUAGCCAUCCGAAAGGAUGGGUAAUACCAGAUGAGACCACAGGACCGCAUGGUCCGGUGCUCAAAGGGUCACCGCAUUGGGAGCAGGCGAUUUCGUAUCAGGUAGUUGGUAGGGUAACGGCCUACCAAGCCGACGACGCGUAGCCGGGCUGAGAGGUCGGCCGGCCACAUUGGGACUGAGACACUGCCCAGACCUCCGUACGGGGGCUGCAGUAACGAAUCUUCCGCAAUGCACGCAAGUGCGACGGAGCGACGCCGCGUGGUAGAUGAACGUCCUGGGAUAGUAAACUCUAGUCGAAGGGAAGAAAGUUCUGAUACCUACCCCGAGAGGAAGAGGUACGGACUAACCGU